Molecule: long non-coding RNA, 17157 nt
Filed under: Lactuca sativa (garden lettuce)
Lineage: Eukaryota; Viridiplantae; Streptophyta; Magnoliopsida; Asterales; Asteraceae
Description: long non-coding RNA (LSAT_LNC001384)
Source: RNAcentral
UCUCAUUAUAGUCUAUCCAAAUGCAUGAUGCCAUGCAAACCAAAUGGACCAUGCCGGGUCGGGUCAAUUCUUACCAAUUAUAGUUAUGGACUUAGACAUUAAUCCAACAGUCUCCCACUUGGAUAAGUCUAAAACUAUUAUUGCGUAUGACUUCAGGAACCAACUGGCAAUCGUAGCUCUCAAAAGCUUCUGUCGAACUCUGACCUUGUAGAUGAACUCUGACCUUUGUCAAUGACUUGUCCAUUAGAUAAGGGAUCAUAUAUUCCUCCAUUCUAGAUAUCAUAUGGACUGAGACAUGGAUUAUAAUCAUUCUCUCUGUCCAUUUGUUGUUUCCCGAUUUCCGAUUUAUGACGACUGACUAAUUGAACAAAUCAAAUCAGUCCUGGCCCGGCCGAGCACUUCCAUUUGUCAUCAUCAAAUCAUCGAGGGGCCCACAGAUAUCGCUUUUAUCCCGAAGGUAAAAGGAAUGGAUAAACUUCGACUCAUAUGGCUUGUUCUACUACUUGUUGAAUCAUACACAAAGGCACGUUUUAUAGCACCGAGUUACCAAAUGCGGUUUCGUGCAAUCAAUGUACAACCAACUCAUAGUAACAACUCAUAUCUCUAGGUUUGAAGAAUAUAAGAUAUUAUCGUCUCAUGAUCACUCGUGAUAAAAUCCAUGAAGUGAUUCAAAUGAGCGCGGGUUGAAUCCAAUACUCAGAACUUAUGAGCACUCAUGAGUGUUGUAGCACAACUUUGUCCACCAACUUGGACCUCUACAAGCCAACCCAUGACAGUCUUGAUUCAUAUCUACUUCCAACAUAUGACCGACUGUGGAUGGUUUAAAUAACUUAGUCAUUCCGGAAGAAUAACCUAGUUAUUAUGGAAGUCAAAACAUGCAAAGUGAAACACAAGAAUAAAUGAAUCAAAUAUGGUAUCAAACCCUAUGAAUAUAAAUAGAAAACUUCUAUUUAUCACCAUACUGAUUACUCAUUAUUCAUUGUUUCGGUUUUAUCAACUUUAUACUUGAAUUAAAAACACUAGUUGUCCGAUCCUCCAAGCAUGUACACUAUGUUUUCCUAAACAAUAGCUUUGCCAUACACCAAGUAUGCACCCUAUGUUUAUCUAUGAUCCUUACUUUGUGAAAUAAACCAAUUGACCAAACUUUCAAUGAUUCUAAUUUCACACUCCCAAAUCGAAAUCUGUUAGAUUUUAAACUUAAAUGCACCACCCUCUUGCAAUGAGUGUGUACAAAGUCACAAAGACUUGUCAACAACCACUACAGGGUAUUCCAAUGAAGACCUACUCCAUGGUCACAAAGCCUUUUGUUCAAAGUAUGCAUUGCUUUGAACAUGCUUCUUGCACUAAGUUCUUUCUAAUCUUACGCAGAUUCCUUCUAUCUAUAGAGACAACUCUAUAUUCCUAUUUUGACUACUACUUCUGAACAAGAGUUGCCUCUUUUCAGACUAUGUCAAUAUGGCCCUUCCAAAAUUCACACUAUACUUCCAACUGUCCUUGAGCAACCAAUCUUUGGUAAACCUUAGAUUGUCCUCGACAAUUGCUUAAUCACUUUAGUCAUAUCCAAUUCUAGACGUUCUCCUCCUUAAUGCUCCAAGGCAUUUGAACAUUCAUAAAGAAUAACUAUUAUAAGACAUGUAAUCGAUCUUGUACCCAAAGUAAAUGGGACACUAAUGAGUUAUAAUAACUCUUGAUCAAUUAGAUCUUUGUAACAGGUAAAUAAAGAAGGUAAAAACAGUAAAAUAAAACACAAGUAUGGAUCUGAAUGAGUCGAAUGAUUAGAUUACUCGAUCCUCAGCAGAGCUCGACUAAGAACUUCCGCUAUAGAGGAUACUAGGGUUACAAAAUCAGAACGAUGAACACGCUUGAAAAUACUUAUCUAAUCAUUACCUUCUAGAAUGCAUGCAUGCAUCUAUUUAUAAUAAACCCUAAACAAAACUCACGGAUGGACAGGCCCAUACCGGAGACAAAACUUAGACUUAGCUAACGAGCCCAAAAGACGCAAUACAAAACUAGUCCUAACAAUCUCCCCCUUUGCAUCAAUUUAGAGAGAGACUAUUAUUUCUUCUUGCUUGGACCAGCUGCUGGAACCUUUUUGGUUGUAUCAAAUAGACACGGGAUAAGGGAGAGGAUUGUCUGUCUGAAGCGAAUGUACCAUUGAAUCAUAUCGUCAAAGUACUUCUUGUCAUCCGCUGUGUUUUGCUUGCACCGAUGGAUGAUCCCUAAGACAUGUUCCAGACAUGUAGUGGUAUAGAGAUGUUUGUCUGCCAAAGCGAAAAGACAUUUUUGACCUUCGUUUCUGGUAAACAUGAAGGAGUUUCUCUUUGGGUCUAUCUUCCCCAUCUGCAUCAUGUUAAGAUCACUGGCAGAGCCAACAGGAGAUAUGGUAGGCUUUUUCUUGAAUACACUCGCUAUCUCCUAGUCCAUCUGGGCAACUUCCAUGACAUAGCAUACAAGUAUCCUCUUAAAGAGGUUAAUGAUCGGACCGUAUUCUGCUUCGUUUGUAAGAAGGAUGUUGUGCAAGAUAAUCCAGUCAUGUGGACUUAAGUUGGGAAGAUCUGCAAGUGAGAUGGCAUGUUCGGUCUUGGCAGAUCCUCUUAGUAUCUUGAACCGAACGUUAGUGAAGUUUCCUUCCCUGUAUGGCUUUCGGACCCGAACAUUGAUGAUUUUCUGAGUGCUCCAUGUUUGGUACUGUGGUUGAGCGGCCCUCAGAUAGAAUUCGACUAAGUCCCGGUCAACCUUUGGAUGAGGAUGAGGGAACUCAGCAAUGUUGGAAAAGGCAUGAAAAAUGAACGCCUUGCGGGUCAGUGGCAUAUCGAACUGAGAAUCGAUAGUGUUAGAACGAUCUAAAGAGAUCAUCGGUUCUAGCCACAAGAUACUGGGUGUUUUGAUGGCUUCUUUCAUCAACUUCUCAAGAGUCCAAGGAGGAAAAAGAGUUUUCCUGCUCUCGAGAAGGUCGUGAGCUUCUUUCUGUCUUCGUUCGGCUUCUUCAACCUCUCUAGCUACACGAGCGUUGAUGUCAGCAUCUUUAUCACGACCUUGCUUCUUCAGAAGGUCGGCAAUGGUCUCCUUAUCAUCAUCGCUCUCCUCAGCAAUUUUCUUGCCCUUGUCUUUUACACCCGAACUUGAGGCUUGGCCUAUAGGAGGAGGUUCGGUUGUGUGAGUUGCGGUUGAAGAAGGAGGCGGUUGAGACACAUUCUCUUUUUCUCCCCCUUGUUUCGGAAUGGAUACGAAAUCAAGGAGCCCUUCAAUCUUGCUUAGGAGAGAUAGGGCAGGAGCAAGCUUUUCCGAAAGGUCACGCCUCACAGAAUAGUUGAGGAUCGGGUCAUGUGCUUCCAGGAUGUUAGAAAUAGCUGAGUGGACAUCCGAAACACAUGAUGAAAUUAUCUCCCUUUCAGAUCGAAGAGACUCAAUCUCCUUCUGAGAGUUGGAGAGUUGAAUACUCUUGACCUUCAGAGCGGUGGUCUUCCUUACAAGAGCGUCCAUGAGGGAGUUCUCAGCCGUUGGAUCUUCUUGAAGCUUGGCUAGGCGCUCCUCAAUGGUCGUCUUGAAUGCUGAGUGGUCGUUUGAGAGAGUUUGACGAAGAGAAGCAAAAGACUUCAGCUUUGAUGUAACGGAGGUAGCCAGCUGGUUGACAAUGGGUUCCAACUUUGUUUUGGUGGCUUCAACAUUCUCCUGUAAUGACUAUAACAAAGACAAAGCAUCAAUGAAUAGUUUAUCGACUUUUUCGGUCGCAGCCUCACAGGCUUUGGUUGAGGCAUCAAUGGCUGCAGUGGCGGAGUCAAGAGAGACUUGAUGAGCUUUGGAAAAAGCAUCAACAAUCUUCUGAAUGGCAGCCUUAGAGAUGUUAGAGUGGGAUGUAGAGGAGGAGGCGAUGAGCGAAUCAAUUUUAUUGUGAAGCUCCUUGAGAUGCCUCUUUGUGACAGGAGCAUCGUCAUCGUCAUCACUCUGAACUUGAUACGGACUAUAAUAGACCGAAUCAAAGGUCAUGUCCUCCCCACCGAGGAAUGGUUCUUCACUCUCUGUUGCAUGAGCAGGAGAUGAGGGGGUGGUAAGGGUGGAGGCUCGAUAGUUGUAGUAGGUUCGGGUUGGGUUGUAUGUUUGGUAGUUGGUGGUGGUUUGGGUGCGUCAGUAGGAACCCCUGUAUCAGAUACAUUGGUUCGUACUUCUGCGGUGGUGGUUGUUGCCUCGGUAAAGAUAGGAAGGGUAUUGGUAUGGAGGUAGGUGGUAUUUCAGUGGUGGAAGUUAUGGGGGGGAAUAGAAAUAGGAAUGGUAACUGGUGGAGAGGAGAUUGGAGAAGUGGAAAAGUGAACUUUUGGGGUGGGGAUCGUGGUGGAGUGUUACCAUAAGGAGAGCCUUCAGAAGUAGAACUCUCUUCCUUGGAUUCGCUUGAGGAUGAAGUGAUGAUCAGCUUUCGCCUCGGUUGGGUUUUUCUCCUCUUCAGCGGAGGGGAUUGGACAGCCUUGGUGGUUUUUCGUUUCUUGGGAGAUGGGCCUUUCGCUCCCUUAGCAAUCUGCUUGACUUUGCCCUUGUAAGUCUUCUUUCCUCUUGGGGCAGGCUUGUCAGCCUCAUGGAUUGACUUGAGCAUCUAUGGAGUAAGCUCUCUCGGAACCAGAGCGUCAAAACUCCUUGUAUAUUUUAAUAAUCCGGCUGUCGGCAGGAACAUCGCCAUACAUCGUUUCAGGGAUUAAACCGUUGAAUGGAAAUUUUGAGGCAUCUGAAACAAUGAUCUUCGUGGUAUGAAAAGUACCAAUCGAAGACAUUGGACAACCAGCAACAAUGGGGAUGUGGUAUUUGUCCAUCACCCAUUUAGUAACGAGAGUCCAAAAUCGAGCAUAGGAAAUCUCGAAAUGUCGAGAUGUAGAAGACAGGCUCUGAAUGAGCUGUUGCCAUAGGACUGACCCGUAGUCCAAAUUGAUACCGUUGUAGAUCCCGUACAGAAUCGAUAUGAACAGACAACUUGCUCCGUCCGAUCCAGCACUGCGUUCAGACAGCCCCUUGAACAGCACUGUAAACAACCCAUUCCACUGAGGAGGCAGGCACGAUUUCUUGAAUUUUGUGACCGUAGUUAGCACCUCAGUAUACCCCAUGUUGUAGAACAUAUUAAAAAGAUGACCCAUUGGAAUGGUUUCAGGGAUAACCCUAGAUGAAUCGGGUUCAAAACCUAAGAGUGAGCAUAAUGUCUGCUUUGAAAUUGACGCCUUGUGAUUAAACACAUCGAAGAAAAUCCGAUCGACGACCUUGUCGUAGUGAGCAGUGUCGAAAAUUUGUGGUAAGAACUCCAUAGGAACUGCUUCAACUUUGGUGAGAGCAGGAGCAAUCGGCGAGUACUUCAGGCAUUCGAUUAUCUGGAACAUGAAAGCGUCGUAUGCAUGGGGAGUAAGAUCAAUGAUCAAACUCUAUUGGGGACGAAUCGGCAAGAUGUGUGAAGUAGCAUGAACUGAUGAAGAAUCCGCCAUUGUUGUGAAGAGGUUGGGAGAGAAGAAGAAAAGUAGAAUACUUGAAGGUUUUCUUGCUCUCUAAAAUUUGGUUGCAGUAAAGAGGUAAACAAUGGUUGAAGUUACCUUUUAUACUGUUGGUAGAUGAGAGAGAAGAAUCUGUCCCAAAUCUUCGGGGAAAUACGAAAAGUUUUUCGGAGGUGAUUGACGCAUGACAGUUGGUAUCACCGAUGAUCACGCAUGAGAGAGAGUGUCCUCUUUUCCACCAUCAGUAUUGUAUCCCCUCAUGUGAGAUACAUCAGUCACCAUCAAACACUUCCCACUGCUUUCGUCACCUCUUGCAACAUAUGCCUUUCCAUGUGAAGGCUUUCUCACCUCAUCAUCCUCUGAGUCAGUAGACCACACCUCCACACCACCGAACUCGUCAUCCGCUGCCGAACCCUGUACAAUAAGAGCAUUCAUAGAAGGGUUAGUAGCAGCUUUCUUCCUCUUGAUUUAUUCAAGCUUUUUCAUUAACACAGCCUCUUUAUCUUUUUCCUCAUCUUUCUCUGCCAUUUUCUUCAGAACACAAUCUUUAGCAUAAUGGUUCUUUCCUCCACGGUAAUAGCAGCUAACGCCAGAAUCUCCUUCAACUUUCGCCUCUUUCUUUGGUUCUUUUGUCUUCGGCUCCUCCCUAACUUUUUCAGAACUAUAGCUUCCCUGCCAAUUUCGGUUCUUAUUGGUAGGGAACCUUCUCUUGAUAAACCUUUUUGGAUUAGACACCAUCAUUACAUAAUCUUCAGAAGUAAGAUCAUAGUCUUCUACGUUCAGAUCUACAUCUUCCACUGCAUUCUUGCCUUUUGAUAGGAGGGCCAAGGAUCCCAAGCUUGAGACCACAUUCUUUUCUUGCAUAACAAUCUUUUCUUGGGAUUUCAGAAUUCCCACCAGGUUUUCCAAUGAAUAAGACUUGAGCUGCUCAUGAGCUUUAACUGAAGACACGACAACUCUCCAUUCAGAUCUUAGGCCAUUCAAAAAGGUGACCUUCUGUUCAAUCAACUUCCUUUCUAUAUCAUGUUUGAUCAUCUUGCUAAGAAGAUGAUUGAAUUCAAAACAUAUUCUGAGUGCUCCAUGUUUGGUACUGUGGUUGAGCGGCCCUCAGAUAGAAUUUGACUAAGUUCUGGUCAACCUUUGGAUGAGGAUGACGGAACUCAGCAAUGUUGGAAAAGGCAUGAAAAAUGAACGCCUUGCGGGUCAGUGGCAUAUCGAACUGAGAAUCGAUAGUGUUAGAACGAUCUAAAGAGAUCACCGGUUCAAGCCACAAGAUNAGCCACAAGAUACUGGGUGUUUUGAUGGCUUCUUUCAUCAACUUCUCAAGAGUCCAAGGAGGAAAAAGAGUUUUCCUGCUCUCGAGAAGGUCGUGAGCUUCUUUCUGUCUUCGUUCGGCUUCUUCAACCUCUCUAGCUACACGAGCGUUGAUGUCAGCAUCUUUAUCACGACCUUGCUUCUUCAGAAGGUCGGCAAUGGUCUCCUUAUCAUCAUCGCUCUCCUCAGCAAUUUUCUUGCCCUUGUCUUUUACACCCGAACCUGAGGCUUGGCCUAUAGGAGGAGGUUCGGUUGUGUGAGUUGCGGUUGAAGAAGGAGGCGGUUGAGACACAUUCUCUUUUUCUCCCCCUUGUUUCGGAAUGGAUACGAAAUCAAGGAGCCCUUCAAUCUUGCUUAGGAGAGAUAGGGCAGGAGCAAGCUUUUCCGAAAGGUCACGCCUCACAGAAUAGUUGAGGAUCGGGUCAUGUGCUUCCAGGAUGUUAGAAAUAGCUGAGUGGACAUCCGAAACACAUGAUGAAAUUAUCUCCCUUUCAGAUCGAACAGACUCAAUCUCCUUCUGAGAGUUGGAGAGUUGAAUACUCUUGACCUUCAGAGCGGUGGUCUUCCUUACAAGAGCGUCCAUGAGGGAGUUCUCAGCCGCUAGAUCUUCUUGAAGCUUGGCUAGGCGCUCCUCAAUGGUCGUCUUGAAUGCUGAGUGGUCGUUUGAGAGAGUUUGACGAAGAGAAGCAAAAGACUUCAACUUUGAUGUAACGGAGGUAGCCAGCUGGUUGACAAUGGGUUCCAGCUUUGUUUUGGUGGCUUCAACAUUCUCCUGUAAUGACUAUAACAAAGACGAAGCAUCAAUGAAUAGUUUAUCGACUUUUUCGGUCGCAGCCUCACAGGCUUUGGUUGAGGCAUCAAUGGCUGCAGUGGCGGAGUCAAGAGAGACUUGAUGAGCUUUGGAAAAAGCAUUAACAAUCUUCUGAAUGACAGCCUUAGAGAUGUUAGAGUGGGAUGUAGAGGAGGAGGCGAUGAGCGAAUCAAUUUUAUUGUGAAGCUCCUUGAGAUGCCUCUUUGUGACAGGAGCAUCGUCAUCGUCAUCACUCUGAACUUGAUACGGACUAUAAUAGACCGAAUCAAAGGUCAUGUCCUCCCCACCGAGGAAUGGUUCUUCACUCUCUGUUGCAUGAGCAGGAGAUGAGGGGGUGGUAAGGGUGGAGGCUCGAUAGUUGUAGUAGGUUCGGGUUGGGUUGUAUGUUUGGUAGUUGGUGGUGGUUUGGGUGCGUCAGUAGGAACCCCUGUAUCAGAUACAUUGGUUCGUACUUCUGCGGUGGUGGUUGUUGCCUCGGUAAAGAUAGGAAGGGUAUUGGUAUGGAGGUAGGUGGUAUUUCAGUGGUGGAAGUUAUGGGGGGGAAUAGAAAUAGGAAUGGUAACUGGUGGAGAGGAGAUUGGAGAAGUGGAAAAGUGAACUUUUGGGGUGGGGAUCAUGGUGGAGUGUUACCACAAGGAGAGCCUUCAGAAGUAGAACUCUAUUCUUUGGAUUCGCUUGAGGAUGAAGUGAUGAUCAGCUUUCGCCUCGGUUGGGUUUUUCUCCUCUUCAGCGGAUGGGAUUGGACAGCCUUGGUGGUUUUUCGUUUCUUGGGAGAUGGGCCUUUCGCUCCCUUAGCAAUCUGCUUGACUUUGCCCUUGUAAGUCUUCUUUCCUCUUGGGGCAGGCUUGUCAGCCUCAUGGAUUGACUUGAGCAUCUAUGGAGUAAGCUCUCUCGGAACCAGAGCGUCAAAACUCCUUGUAUAUUUUAAUAAUCCGGCUGUCGGCAGGAACAUCGCCAUACAUCGUUUCAGGGAUUAAACCGUUGAAUGGAAAUUUUGAGGCAUCUGAAACAAUGAUCUUCGUGGUAUGAAAAGUACCAAUCGAAGACAUUGGACAACCAGUAACAAUGGGGAUGUGGUAUUUGUCCAUCACCCAUUUAGUAACGAGAGUCCAAAAUCGAGCAUAGGAAAUCUCGAAAUGUCGAGAUGUAGAAGACAGGCUCUGAAUGAGCUGUUGCCAUAGGACUGACCCGUAGUCCAAAUUGAUACCGUUGUAGAUCCCGUACAGAAUCGAUAUGAACAGACAACUUGCUCCGUCCGAUCCAGCACUGCGUUCAGACAGCCCCUUGAACAGCACUGUAAACAACCCAUUCCACUGAGGAGGCAGGCACGAUUUCUUGAAUUUUGUGACCGUAGUUAGCACCUUAGUAUACCCCAUGUUGUAGAACAUAUUAAAAAGAUGACCCAUUGGAAUGGUUUCAGGGAUAACCCUAGAUGAAUCGGGUUCAAAACCUAAGAGUGAGCAUAAUGUCUGCUUUGAAAUUGACGCCUUGUGAUUAAACACAUCGAAGAAAAUCCGAUCGACGACCUUGUCGUAGUGAGCAGUGUCGAAAAUUUGUGGUAAGAACUCCAUAGGAACUGCUUCAACUUUGGUGAGAGCAGGAGCAAUCGGCGAGUACUUCAGGCAUUCGAUUAUCUGGAACAUGAAAGCGUCGUAUGCAUGGGGAGUAAGAUCAAUGAUCAAACUCUAUUGGGGACGAAUCGGCAAGAUGUGUGAAGUAGCAUGAACUGAUGAAGAAUCCGCCAUUGUUGUGAAGAGGUUGGGAGAGAAGAAGAAAAGUAGAAUACUUGAAGGUUUUCUUGCUCUCUAAAAUUUGGUUGCAGUAAAGAGGUAAACAAUGGUUGAAGUUACCUUUUAUACUGUUGGUAGAUGAGAGAGAAGAAUCUGUCCCAAAUCUUCGGGGAAAUACGAAAAGUUUUUCGGAGGUGAUUGACGCAUGACAGUUGGUAUCACCGAUGAUCACACAUGAGAGAGAGUGUCCUCUUUUCCACCAUCAGUAUUGUAUCCCCUCAUGUGAGAUACAUCAGUCACCAUCAAACACUUCCCACUGCUUUCGUCACCUCUUGCAACAUAUGCCUUUCCAUGUGAAGGCUUUCUCACCUCAUCAUCCUCUGAGUCAGUAGACCACACCUCCACACCACCGAACUCGUCAUCCGCUGCCGAACCCUGUACAAUAAGAGCAUUCAUAGAAGGGUUAGUAGCAGCUUUCUUCCUCUUGAUUUAUUCAAGCUUUUUCAUUAACACAGCCUCUUUAUCUUUUUCCUCAUCUUUCUCUGCCAUUUUCUUCAGAACACAAUCUUUAGCAUAAUGGUUCUUUCCUCCACGGUAAUAGCAGCUAACGCCAGAAUCUCCUUCAACUUUCGCCUCUUUCUUUGGUUCUUUUGUCUUCGGCUCCUCCCUAACUUUUUCAGAACUAUAGCUUCCCUGCCAAUUUCGGUUCUUAUUGGUAGGGAACCUUCUCUUGAUAAACCUUUUUGGAUUAGACACCAUCAUUGCAUAAUCUUCAGAAGUAAGAUCAUAGACUUCUACGUUCAGAUCUACAUCUUCCACUGCAUUCUUGCCUUUUGAUAGGAGGGCCAAGGAUCCCAAGCUUGAGACCACAUUCUUUUCUUGCAUAACAAUCUUUUCUUGGGAUUUCAGAAUUCCCACCAGGUUUUCCAAUGAAUAAGACUUGAGCUGCUCAUGAGCUUUAACUGAAGACACGACAACUCUCCAUUCAGAUCUUAGGCCAUUCAAAAAGGUGACCUUCUGUUCAAUCAACUUCCUUUCUAUAUCAUGUUUGAUCAUCUUGCUAAGAAGAUGAUUGAAGCGAUCAAACGUCCGAGUGACAGUUUCAUCAGAAUUAUGCUUAAAUUCACCAAACUCAGACAAAAGCAAUGUCUGAAUAGAAUGCUCCAAAUCUUCAUCUGUGGAAUAUAGCUCUCACAACCUAUCCCAAAUUUCUUUAGCGGUACUGCAGGAACUCACCAACCUAAAUGUAUCAGACUGUAGAGCAAAUCAGAUCAGUCUCAAUGCUUUAAUGUUGCACUGAAACUUUUCCUUUUCAUCUUGAGCAACGUCUUUUAUGUCUUCUAGCAGAUCAUUAUACUCUUUCUGAGUUUUAAUGAUUUUAGAUGUUCCUGAGUGAGCAAAUUGUCCAGAUACAAUUGCUUCCCAAAUAAGAUACUCAUUAUCUUCAGAUCCGAUUACAUAGUCUUUGAAAUGAUGCGCCCAAACUUCAUAAUCCUGGGUGUAAAGAAUAGGAAUUUUUGUCGUUGAUCCAAUGCUGUUCGAUAUGUUGAUAGGAUUAGAUUGAGACUCAUCCAUGCUUGAUCGUUUAACUUGUUUGAAAGAUCAGACUUGUAAUAUGUAAUAUUAGGGCAAAACAAAUAAAUGUUGAGUUACAUCAAUUAUGGAAUGACGGCUCAAUAAAUAUAAGUUAAUGCGGAAUAACCCUUAUCAUUUCUUUCACAUAAAAGAUGUGUAUGAAUUACACAGCCUCCUGCUCUAAUACUAAUUGAUUGGAUUAAAACCCUAAUUGAGAUUUGAUGAACAAGAUGCGGAAAAUAAGAACAAACACAAAUACGAAGAUUAUGUCCAAUGAUCACUCGAUUUAUUCAAAUAUGAGGAAUAAAUUACACUUUCAGCAUAGACUAAAGAAUCUAACACUGCAUAAGAAACCUGGCUCUAAUACCAAUUGAUGAAUUAUAAUAACUCAUGAUCGAUUACAUCUUUGUAAUAGGUAAAUAAAGAACGUAAAAACAGUCAAAUAAAACACAAGUAUGGAUCUGAAUGAGUCGAAUGAUUAGAUUUCUCGAUCCUCAGCAGAGCUCGACUAAGAACUUUCGCUGUAGAGGAUACUAGGGUUACAAAAUCAGAACGAUGAACACGCUUGAAAAUACUUAUCUAAUCGUUACCUUCUAGAAUGCAUGCAAGCAUCUAUUUAUAAUAAACCCUAAACAAAACUCACGGAUAGACAGGCCCAUACCGGAGACAAAACUUGGACUUAGCUAACGAGCCCAAAAGACGCAACACAAAACUAGUCCUAACAGACACGAUUCAUGAUGUUUCACAUAAAGACAUGGUUCUAGACCAUUCUUUUGCCAUAAUAAUUUUUGUUUGCCAUAUUCUCAAAAUUUUACUAUGAAAAGGGAUGUCGUAAUCAUAAUCAAAUUUUGAGAACGCAAUAUAUAGAAUUUUCUUAAGUUGAACCAAUCCAACAUGAAAAUCAUAUAUAUAUUCUUGACUAAAGGUGAUUAAAAUCUCAAUAUAAGAUCUUUAGAAUGAUUAUAAACUCAAUCUAAGCUUUUCAUAAUUGAAAUGAAGGUUAAUUUUCUCUCCUUUAAUUAUAGCAAAACAACUUUUUCAACCCCUGCAACCUCACGAAUUGAAACAUUAGUUUUCUAUAAUUAACAUUGCUAACUUGCAAUACAUAUCAUAAUUAUCAUGCUCCCACUAACAUGAUGAUUAUAAGCAUAACACUUAUGCUCCCACUAGCUUUGACAUGUACUCAGAAAUCAGCUAUUGACUUUUUUUUACCAAAGUUCAGAUUUCUGAUACUCGAUUGCUUUGAUAAGACUUUAUCAAAAUCAUACACCUUAUCUUAGAUAGCUCACAUGUGUGUCUAAACAAUUUCAGAACUAUGAAAAGGGAUUCUGUAAUCAUAGUCGUAAUUGUUUAGGCCUUUGCUAUUUCUCAUAAGUCCAUGUUAGUAUGCCUACUAACAACUUUGAGAAUGCAAAGAUUACUAUCUACUUACAAAUCUACUUAGUGGAUGUGUUUUCCUCACCAUCAUUUUCAUGAAUCGGAGAGAAACCUUAUGACACUUAGAUUUUUAUGGUGUAUGAGUUCCUACGCAUAUGAAUUUGUCAAAACCAUAAUCACAAGACAAGGUUAGUGACAAAUCCAAACUCAUAUGGAUUGAACUUGUGCAAUCUUAAGUUCUUGCCAUUUGGCAGCACAAGGGCCUGUCAUAGCUUCCAAGUAGCUGUGCAACCAAUUGAGGACUCUAAGAACUCAUAUGCAAAGCCAACUUUAACUGGAAUGGGCACAGAAUAUGUCAACACGAUAGGUUAUAAACCUCAAGUCGUGUGCUAGUGAAGAACCUCAGGUUUUAUUCUUGAUUAGUUCUUGAGACUUUCAAGACCUUUAAGACUCCCACUGUCCUCUUGACAUAUAAGACCCUCUUGUUAAAUACUCAAGGGAUAGUGCGGAUUCUUAUCAAGACAAACACUUCACACAAUUGGCCUAAGUUGGUCUUUGUUUUAUCCAAAACAUCACAACUUACCAACUUCAAAUGUACAAGAGUAGGACACUUUUACUCUUACAUUUGACACGUGUUUUUAAACCUUUCAUUAAGAUAUGUCACUCAAGUUACAAUCUUAGAGUAUGACUCUAAGAAUUUUUUUGGAACGAAGUAUGACUCAUCUUCUUGAUUUGACCACUUCAAUAAUUCAUAACUCCUCUUCUUAGCUAUCAGAAUGCACUUAGAGGAUGAAUUGUGAUAAGGUCUCUUAGUCAUUAAGAUGAUCAUAUAACAUGAUACUAAAGUACUCUCUCAUCUUUUCAGAUUUGAGAAACUUUUAUCCUUCUGCCUAAUUUGAUUCUUCUCAUUCGUUCUACCAUACAUCGAGACUUUUCCAAUGCUUCAGAAUUAUACAUAGACUUAUAAGUAUAACCAUAUUUACUAAACUUUAGUAAAUCAUGACGAAUAGUCUUAUCGAUUAUUUUUGGUGGGCUUGAUCAGUGCACAUGAUUGUGUACUUGAUCCCUUUAGUCCUUUACUUGACUCACACAUCCAUGUGAUCAAGUAAUUAGUCUUAAUUUUCCAAUGCUUGAAAUUUCUCAUUCAUCAAACUAUACAACUUGCGUGAUUCCAAGUUUCGGUCCAAUUGAAACUUGGGUGAUGAGAAUCUUUUCUUAUUUGGUAAAUUUAGACAUUACCACAAAUGAAAGAAUCAAUUUCAUAUUUCCAGUCUUGCUAUUAAUGGAAUCUUAUAAGCAACAAAAAUUUUCACAGAUGCCAUUGUAAGGGUAUUUUAAAAUAAAUAAAAUCAGAAAUUUUCCUUUUAUUUUAAAACUUUGCAGAAAAACUAAUGCUUACAAUCCAUAUGAAAAACUUGUUGUUAUCUAUUCCUAAGCAAUAUCUCAUAACUCCUAAGAAGUAGCUCAAGAAUCCGAUCUUCAAACUAUGCGAUAGAAAUCCAUCUACGCGAUCAGAUUCAGCAUAUUAUUUCUUUAAGUUUCUUCUGUUCUCUUUGAUUCUUAAAACAUCAACAUGUGACCCACUCACAUCAUGUAUCAGGAAUCUCAGAGUAGAAACUUAACAGAGUUAGACUAUGGACUUUACCUGAAAUAAAGUCAAACCCAUUGACUUUACCAUCCUUAGGUAAGUUUGGCAGCUUCGUAACCAAUGCCCCUUCCUUUAGCAAUUUAACAUAUGGGCUCUUUGAUAAUGAUACAUGGGACUAUCACAGACUUAGCAUUUCUCUUAACCAUUUGGUCAACCAAGUUGACUAUGGCCAAUCCCUUUCCAUUGGGAAGAGAAUGCUUUUUCUGGAUUUCCAGUGUCACCAUUGUCAAUGUCCAUAAAGUUUUCGGAAGUCGAUCUUCUAAUCAAAUUUGCUUUACUAGCCUUCUAAAUCAUUGUUGAUUCAGCAAUACCAAGCAAAUAGAUAAGAUCAUUAAGGGUCUUGUCAUAGUCUGUUUCAUAGGAGUCCCAAAGGAACUUACUAUGUAACUUAGAAACUCAUUGAACCACCAACUUUCUCAAGACUUUGACACCUAACUCUCCCGGUUGUCUAUAUGUGACUUUAUCUCCAAGAUGUGAUCACACCUAGACCUUGCCUUGCCAAUAGGGCUUGAGUGACCUUGAACUUGUGGGUUAGGGAAAAUAAUUGGAGGUGGAGGAAGUGAAGUUCCAAUAGAUUUGGGAAGAUCACAGAUGUCUGAACUAGACAUCUUUUGGGAGAUAUUCAAGUUUAGUUGAUUUAAAAGUCCUUAAUAUAACACCCAAUAUGAAAUAUUAAGGCUAGGACCCUACAACCUAUUUUAUAACUCGGAAGAGGGAUGCCGUAAUCCAAGUUAUAAAAUAGUUUAAGGUAAAUGACGAUUUACCAAUUUCCACCAUGAAAAACGAAAUAUAAUUAAGUUUUAAUUGGAUUUGAAACUCCUAGAUCUUUUGAGAUUCAUUGAAGUUUUCAAUGGCAUGUUUCAAUAUCGAGUGUGCCCUUCAGGUUUUGUGACUGGGAUGCCGAGGAUCACAAAACAAGGUGUGAAGUAACCAUGCAAAUCACUUGGCACUCUUAAAUGUUUAUCACCCAACCGGUGUGCCGGUAAACCACACACGCUCCACCAGCCUAUGAUAAACUUUAAGAAAACCCUUUGCCUACCUUGUUAAAUCAAGCUAGUGUGCCGGUAAACCACACACGCUCCACCAACCGACUUAAGCAAAGUGCAAAGUGUAAUUUCAUGGGCUAGCACCUUAUUCACAUUUUCCUAAGUAACUAAGAUUGGGUAUUUAUAAAAGGUUUAGUUACUUAGUAUUUAUCAUUAAUACUUUUAAUGAAGGGAGAACUUAAAGUAUUUGUCCUACCCGUUCGGCUAACGACCCUCCACCAUUCAAGGAAGCGGUGGGUGAGAGUGGACACCCAUUAAACUGCCAUUUUAUAGGCAGUAACCUUAUGCCCCCCUUAUAGACCGGCUUCGUGAAUGAGGCCUACUAACGGUAAGACUGACUUUACUCUUAUACAUAUAUAUAAAUAUUAUUAACUUAUAAUAUUAUAAAGUAUAAGGGUUGAAUUUUAACUUUUAAAAUUCUAAGGGCUAACUUGGAAUUUAAGUAUUCGUAAGAGAAAACUUUUCAAAUUCCAAAACAUGAGGGCAAGUUUUGAAACUAUUCAAAACUAAUUAAUUCCAUAACUUAUGUGUUUAAAGUAGUGUUAAUUAAAAGACUUCAAGUUCCAUAACUUGAGGACAAGUUAUGGAAGACUUUAAACUAAUAAAGAAUGUAACUUUUCUUUAUUUUUAUCACUUAUGGAACUAAUUAAGGUUACAGUUAUUUAUUUAUUUAUUAUUUAAUGAAGAGACUCUUGGUCCUCCAUAACUUGAGGACAAGUUAUGGAGUCAUAAAACCAUUUAAUUAGAAAUAGACUCUUCAUUUUUGUAACCUUUGCCAAUUUUUAUGAGUUUUAUGAUUCUUAAAUGUGACUUUUCAUAUAACUUGAGGACAAGUUACAAAAACACAUUUUAGAAUCAAUUCUUAGAUUAAUUUGGAUUNUAACACACUUUGGAAUCAACUCUUAGAUUAAAACGGAUUGAAAUCAACUAUUUCACACAACUUUUCUAUUAAUCUAAGCAACUCAUAAGAACAAGAUAAUUCAAAUCACACUUUUUCAUGUAAUUAGUCUAAACCUUAAACUAAUACAAAACAUGAAUCUAUUGACAAUUAUCUUUGAAAUUGGAUUAGCAUGAACAUUACCACAUCAAAAACAAGUUUAUUAGUCCAAAAACAUCUUAGGGUAAUGUUCCUAGUCUAAUUCCAGCCAAAAAAAGUCAAAUUUAUGCUGUCUGGGGGUCCAACUCGUCGAGUACAUGAACCAACUUGACGAGUUGGAUCGAUUUUGACCACUUUUAGGCAUGGACUCGCCGAGUCUCCUGAUGGACUCGCCGAGUCUAAUGAUCAGACAACAAAUAGCUUCGAUUUUUUGAGCAUUCUAACACUCCUAAGUGUACAUGCAACCCUAAAUACCUUGGAUCUAUGUUUUCUCUAUUAUACAUGCAAAUAUGAACAUCCAAAGUAUUAUUCUAAUCUAGCAUACAAAACAAUGACUAUAGCAAGAUAGAAUACAUACCUCUUUGAUGUAGAAUUUCCUCAAGAAGCUUGAGUGCCUAGUGCCUCAAGUGUGACACCUCAAAUGGCUCACACAAUAUCAAUUGCUUUUGGAAUAACCUUGAGAGAAAUGUAGAACACUUGAAAAUCGGCUAGCUCUUUUCUUCUUCACACUAGUGUCGUUUUUGCCAAGAGUAUGAUCUUUAUAUAGUGUUACAAUUAGUGUAAACCCUAAUUGUUAUGACUUUCCAUUUCCUUGGAUCCAUGGGUUCAAAGAUACCAUGGAGCAUCCAUGGAGCAUCCUAUGGGUUUUACCCCAACUUGACAAUCAACCCAUAUAUUUAAUUAGUCUUCUUUUGAUCACUUAACUAAUUCUAGAUUAAUUCUUGAUCAAUACUAAUUAAAUAAUCCUAUUAAUAUAUUAGAACUUAUAAUAUAUUAAUCAACCUUAAGUAUUAUUUCUCUCAUUAUAGUCUAUCCAAAUGCAUGAUGCCAUGCAACCCAAAUGGACCAUGCCGGGUCAGGUCAAGUCUUACCAAUUAUAGUUAUGGACUUAGACAUUAAUCCAAUAGUCUCCCACUUAGGUAAGUCUAAAACUAUUAUUGCGUAUGACUUCAAGAACCAACUGGGAAUCGUAGCUCUCAAAAGCUUCUGUCGAACUCUGACCUUGCCAAUGAUCUCUGACCUUUGUCACUGACUUGUCCAUUAGAUAAGGGAUCAUAUAUUCCUCCAUUCUAGAUAUCAUAUGGACUGAGACAUGGA